UACCAGACUCCUACGGGAGGCAGCAGUGAGGAAUAUUGGUCAAUGGGCUUACGCCUGAACCAGCCAAGUCGCGUGAGGGAAGACUGCCCUAUGGGUUGUAAACCUCUUUUGUCAGGGAGCAAUUGGCGCUACGUGUAGCGUUAUCGAGAGUACCUGAAGAAAAAGCAUCGGCUAACUCCGUGCCAGCAGCCGCGGUAAUACGUAGGUGGCAAGCGUUGUCCGGAUUUACUGGGUGUAAAGGGCGUGUAGCCGGGUUGACAAGUCAGAUGUGAAAUCCUGCGGCUUAACCGCAGAACUGCAUUUGAAACUGUUGAUCUUGAGUACUGGAGAGGCAGACGGAAUUCCUAGUGUAGCGGUGAAAUGCGUAGAUAUUAGGAGGAACACCAGUGGCGAAGGCGGUCUGCUGGACAGCAACUGACGGUGAGGCGCGAAAGCGUGGGGAGCAAACAGGAUUAGAUACCCGAGUA
Molecule: ribosomal RNA, 467 nt
Filed under: uncultured bacterium
Lineage: Bacteria
Description: partial 16S ribosomal RNA
Rfam family: Bacterial small subunit ribosomal RNA
Source: RNAcentral